This 253-nucleotide ribosomal RNA is filed under the name uncultured bacterium. RNAcentral's name for it is "partial 16S ribosomal RNA". It matches the Rfam family "Bacterial small subunit ribosomal RNA", at positions 524 to 776 of the family's 1533-position model. The record is from RNAcentral.
UACGUAGGUGGCAAGCGUUGUCCGGAUUUACUGGGCGUAAAGAGCGCGCAGGCGGUCGUUCAAGUCGCGUGUGAAAGCCCCCGGCUCAACUGGGGAGGGUCACGCGAUACUGAUCGACUCGAAGGCAGGAGAGGGUAGUGGAAUUCCCGGUGUAGUGGUGAAAUGCGUAGAUAUCGGGAGGAACACCAGUGGCGAAGGCGACUUCCUGGCCUGUUCUUGACGCUGAGGCGCGAAAGCGUGGGGAGCAAACAGG